Molecule: ribosomal RNA, 1669 nt
Filed under: Gyratrix hermaphroditus
Lineage: Eukaryota; Metazoa; Platyhelminthes; Rhabdocoela; Polycystididae
Description: partial large subunit ribosomal RNA
Rfam family: Eukaryotic large subunit ribosomal RNA
Source: RNAcentral
AGCAUAUCAUUAAGCGGAGGAAAAGAAACUAACAAGGAUUCCCUUAGUAGCGGCGAGCGAAGAGGGAUUAGCCCAAAACCGAAUCCUGUAGCGCGAGCUAUUAGGAAAUGUGGUUUAUGGUUCUUUACCUACAACAAAUCGGAGCUGUCAUAAGUCCACAUGAUUGUGGCUUCGAGCCCGGAGAGGGUGCAAGGCCCGUACUGGCAGUACGAUUUGUUCUGGUGAAGUUCCGAGAGUCGGGUUGUUUGGGAAUGCAGCCCUAAGAGGGUGGUAAACUCCAUCCAAGGCUAAAUACAACACGAGUCCGAUAGUGAACAAGUACCAUGAGGGAAAGUUGAAAAGAACUUUGAAGAGAGAGUUCAAUAGUGCGUGAAACCGCUCAAGGAGAACCGGACAGAACUGAAGUGUGGCUGUCGUAUUUGCAUUUCGCUGUUCUCAUGUGAUGGGUGCGGAUACAGUUAAUCCUGAUCGGCCCGUUAUGUGCGGAGCAUCGUUACUGCUGUUGCGUGCGGUCAAACACCACGAUCAGUGAUGUAGUUGGCUUGUCAUGAGACAGAAGGUGGCUUGGUUCGCCAAGUGUUAUAGCUGUCUUUUACAACGCCAGCAAGACACUGUUAUGCUGUAUGACAUUGUAGUUGUCUAUGUCGGUUGGUGAUACGAGGGUGCUGGAUAGGCUCAUUUAAGAGACUAUUUGGUUACCAUUGAGUGUUGCUGGUUGGCCUCUAGCGACUGCAACAGAAUCUGUGGUGCAAGAGUAAGUAAUCUGUCCGACCCGUCUUGAAACACGGACCAAGGAGUUUAACAUGUGCGCGAGUCGUAGGGUGCUACGAAACCUGAAGGCGCAGUGAAAGUGAAGAUUUGUGCUUGUCGCAAGUCAAGGUGGGAUCCUGGCUACAAUGAGUGUGAAUUCAUGGGUUGGGCGCACCACCGGCUCGUCCCAUGCUUUAUCAAGUGGGGCGACGCAAGAGCGCACAUGUUGAGACCCGAAAGAUGGUGAACUAUGCUUGAGUAGGUUGAAGCCAGAGGAAACUCUGGUGGAGGACCGUAGCAAUUCUGACGUGCAAAUCGAUUGUCAAACUUGAGUAUAGCGGCGAAAGACUAAUCGAACCAUCUAGUAGCUGGUUCCCUCCGAAGUUUCCCUCAGGAUAGCUGGCACUCGGGAAACAAACAGUUUUAUCCGGUAAAGCGAAUGAUUAGCAGUAUUGGGGAUGACAUUUCCUCAACUGAUUCUCAAACUUUAAAUGGGUGAGAUGCUUGACUCUCUUUAUUGGAGUUGAGCUUUACUGAAUGUGAGUGCCUAGUGGGCCAUUUUUGGUAAGCAGAACUGGCGCUGUGGGAUGAACCAAACGUCUGGUUAAGGAGCCAAACAUAACGCUCAUGAGAUACCACAAAAGGUGUUGGUUGAUAUUGACAGCAGGACGGUGGCCAUGGAAGUUGGAAUCCGCUAAGGAGUGUGUAACAACUCACCUGCCGAAUCAACCAGCCCUGAAAAUGGAUGGCGCUUGAGCGUUGGUCCUAUACCCGACCGCUACCGUGAAUGGCAUUGUAUGCGGUAACGAGUAGGAGGGCGCCGUGGUGAGCAUAGAAGCCUACACCGUGAGGUUAGGUGGAGCCGCCACGGGUGCAGAUCUUGGUGGUAGUAGCAAAUAUUCAAGUGAGAACCUUGAAG